GCGGACGUGGCGAAACGGUAGACGCAAGGGACUUAAAAUCCCUUAGCCGAAAGGCUGUGAGGGUUCGAGUCCCUCCGUCCGCACCA
RNAcentral lists this transfer RNA (86 nucleotides) under Hyphomicrobiales bacterium. RNAcentral's name for it is "tRNA-Leu". It matches the Rfam family "tRNA". Rfam says of the family: Transfer RNA (tRNA) molecules are approximately 80 nucleotides in length. Their secondary structure includes four short double-helical elements and three loops (D, anti-codon, and T loops). The record is from RNAcentral. Lineage: Bacteria; Pseudomonadati; Pseudomonadota; Alphaproteobacteria; Hyphomicrobiales.